RNAcentral lists this ribosomal RNA (455 nucleotides) under uncultured Leptolinea sp. RNAcentral describes it as "bacterial SSU rRNA". It matches the Rfam family "Bacterial small subunit ribosomal RNA", at positions 915 to 1382 of the family's 1533-position model. The record is from RNAcentral. Lineage: Bacteria; Bacillati; Chloroflexota; Anaerolineae; Anaerolineales; Anaerolineaceae.
GAGGGCCCCGCACAAGCAGCGGAGCGUGUGGUUUAAUUCGAUGUUACACGAAGAACCUUACCUGGGUUUGACAUGCUAGUGGUAAUGAAGCGAAAGCUAAGUGACCCGCAAGGGAGCUAGCACAGGUGCUGCAUGGCUGUCGUCAGCUCGUGUCGUGAGAUGUUCGGUUAAGUCCGCUAACGAGCGCAACCCUCGCUGUGUGUUACAAGUGUCACACAGGACCGCCGGUCUUAAGCCGGAGGAAGGUGGGGAUGAUGUCAAGUCAGCAUGGCCUUUAUAUCCUGGGCUACACACACGCUACAAUGGCCAACACAAUAGGUUGCUAAGCCGCGAGGUGGCGCCAAUCCAUAAAGUUGGUCUCAGUUCAGAUUGUAGGCUGCAACCCGCCUGCAUGAAGAUGGAGUUGCUAGUAACCGCAGGUCAGCUAUACUGCGGUGAAUACGUUCCCGGGGCUU